This 506-nucleotide ribosomal RNA is filed under the name uncultured bacterium. Its description in RNAcentral is "partial 16S ribosomal RNA". It matches the Rfam family "Bacterial small subunit ribosomal RNA", at positions 28 to 523 of the family's 1533-position model. The record is from RNAcentral.
GAUGAACGCUAGCUACAGGCUUAACACAUGCAAGUCGAGGGGUAACAAGAGAAAAGCUUGCUUUUCUUGUUGACGACCGGCGCACGGGUGAGUAACGCGUAUCCAACCUGCCUAUAACUAGGGAAUAACCUUGCGAAAGUAAGACUAAUACCCUAUGAUUUCCUUUGAUGACAUCAGAUUAGGAAUAAAGAUUUAUCGGUUAUAGAUGGGGAUGCGUCUGAUUAGCUUGUUGGCGGGGUAACGGCCCACCAAGGCAACGAUCAGUAGGGGUUCAGAGCGGAAGGGACCCCACAUUGGAACUGAGACACGGUCCAAACUCCUACGGGAGGCAGCAGUGAGGAAUAUUGGUCAAUGGGCGGAAGCCUGAACCAGCCAAGUAGCGUGCAGGAUGACGGCCCUAUGGGUUGUAAACUGCUUUUAUACAGGAAUAAAGUUAGCCACGUGUGGUUAUUUGUAGGUACUGUAUGAAUAAGGACCGGCUAAUUCCGUGCCAGCAGCCGCCGCAG